CGCAUGGUCCGAGCUUGAAGAUGGCUUCGGCUAUCACUUUUGGAUGGCCCGCGGCGUAUUAGCUAGAUGGUGGGGUAACGGCUCACCAUGGCAAUGAUACGUAGCCGACUGAGAGGGUAAUCGGCCACAUUGGGACUGAGACACGGCCCAAACUCCUACGGGAGGCAGCAGUAGGGAAUCUCACAAUGGACGAAAGUCUGAUGGAGCAACGCCGCGUGAGUGAAGAAGGGUUCGGCUCGUAAAACUCUGUUGUUAAAGAGAACAUAUCUGAGAGUAACUGUUCAGGUAUUGACGGUUUAACCAGAAAGCCACGGCUAACUACGUGCCAGCAGCCGCGGUAAUACGUAGGUGGCAAGCGUUGUCCGGAUUUAUUGGGCUAAAGCGAGCGCAGGCGGUUUUAAGUCUGAUGUGAAAGCCUUCGGCUCAACCGAAGAAGUGCAUCGGAAACUGGGAAACUUGAGUGCAGAAGAGGACAGUGGAACUCCAUGUGUAGCGGUGAAAUGCGUAGAUAUAUGGAAGAACACAGUGGCGAAGGCGGCUGUCUGGUCUGUAACUGACGCUGAGGCUCGAAAGUAUGGGUAGCAAACAGGAUUAGAUACCUGGUAGUCCAUACCGUAAACGAUGAAUGCUAAGUGUUGGAGGGUUUCGCCCUUCAGUGCUGCAGCUAACGCAUUAAGCAUUCCGCCUGGGGAGUACGGCCGCAAGCUGAAACUCAAAGGAAUUGACGGGGGCCCGCACAAGCGGUGGAGCAUGUGGUUUAAUUCGAAGCUACGCGAAGAACCUUACCAGGUCUUGACAUACUAGCAAAUCUAAGAGAUUAGACGUUCCCUUCGGGGACAUGGAUACAGGUGGUGCAUGGUUGUCGUCAGCUCGUGUCGUGAGAUGUUGGUUAAGUCCCGCAACGAGCGCAACCUUAUUAUCAGUUGCCAGCAUUAAGUUGGGCACUCUGGUGAGACUGCCGGUGACAAACCGGAGGAAGGUGGGGAUGACGUCAAAUCAUCAUGCCCUUAUGACCUGGGCUACACACGUGUACAAUGGAUGGUACAACGAGUUGCGAACUCGCGAGAGUAAGCUAAUCUCUUA
Molecule: ribosomal RNA, 1083 nt
Filed under: Lactiplantibacillus plantarum
Lineage: Bacteria; Bacillati; Bacillota; Bacilli; Lactobacillales; Lactobacillaceae
Description: bacterial SSU rRNA
Rfam family: Bacterial small subunit ribosomal RNA
Source: RNAcentral